This 317-nucleotide unclassified non-coding RNA is filed under the name uncultured Glomerales. RNAcentral's name for it is "sequence contains 5.8S rRNA gene, ITS2, 28S rRNA gene". The stretch from base 1 to 52 matches the Rfam family "5.8S ribosomal RNA", at positions 103 to 154 of the family's 154-position model. Lineage: Eukaryota; Fungi; Glomeromycota; Glomeromycetes; Glomerales; Glomeraceae. The record is from RNAcentral.
AACGCAAAUUGCACUCUCUGGUAUUCCGGGGAGUAUGCCUGUUUGAGGGUCGCUUAACAAACCAUCGAUUUCGUUGCUUUUUUAAAGUGAUGUUUAUCGGAUUUGAGCCGUCUUUUUUUUUAUAUUUAAGUGGCUUAAAAUUGAUUUUUUUUGGUACGAUCGAAGCGUAUUUUUAUGAUCAAUUUUUGGUUAAAGAAACGCACACGUACCGUCAUUUAAUAUGAUGUAAUACGUUUGACUAUUGGAUUUAGUUCAUUCGUAUACGAUAUUUUUCAAUAUUUGACCUCAAAUCAGGUAAGAACACCCGCUGAACUUAA